CGCGGCCUAUCAGCUUGUUGGUGAGGUAAAGGCUCACCAAGGCGACGACGGGUAGCCGGCCUGAGAGGGCGACCGGCCACACUGGGACUGAGACACGGCCCAGACUCCUACGGGAGACAGCAGUGGGGAAUAUUGCACAAUGGGCGCAAGCCUGAUGCAGCGACGCCGCGUGAGGGAUGACGGCCUUCGGGUUGUAAACCUCUUUCAGCAGGGAAGAAGCGCAAGUGACGGUACCUGCAGAAGAAGCGCCGGCUAACUACGUGCCAGCAGCCGCGGUAAUACGUAGGGCGCAAGCGUUGUCCGGAAUUAUUGGGCGUAAAGAGCUCGUAGGCGGCUUGUCACGUCGGGUGUGAAAGCCCGGGGCUUAACCCCGGGUCUGCAUUCGAUACGGGCUAGCUAGAGUGUGGUAGGGGAGAUCGGAAUUCCUGGUGUAGCGGUGAAAUGCGCAGAUAUCAGGAGGAACACCGGUGGCGAAGGCGGAUCUCUGGGCCAUUACUGACGCUGAGGAGCGAAAGCGUGGGGAGCGAACAGGAUUAGAUACCCUGGUAGUCCACGCCGUAAACGGUGGGAACUAGGUGUUGGCGACAUUCCACGUCGUCGGUGCCGCAGCUAACGCAUUAAGUUCCCCGCCUGGGGAGUACGG
RNAcentral lists this ribosomal RNA (643 nucleotides) under uncultured Actinomycetes bacterium. RNAcentral's name for it is "bacterial SSU rRNA". It matches the Rfam family "Bacterial small subunit ribosomal RNA", at positions 232 to 885 of the family's 1533-position model. The record is from RNAcentral. Lineage: Bacteria; Bacillati; Actinomycetota; Actinomycetes.